RNAcentral lists this ribosomal RNA (447 nucleotides) under uncultured bacterium. Its description in RNAcentral is "bacterial SSU rRNA". It matches the Rfam family "Bacterial small subunit ribosomal RNA", at positions 328 to 792 of the family's 1533-position model. The record is from RNAcentral.
CGCCCAGACUCCUACGGGAGGCAGCAGUGGGGAAUAUUGCACAAUGGGGGAAACCCUGAUGCAGCGACGCCGCGUGAGCGAUGAAGUAUUUCGGUAUGUAAAGCUCUAUCAGCAGGGAAGAAGAUGACGGUACCUGACUAAGAAGCCCCGGCUAACUACGUGCCAGCAGCCGCGGUAAUACGUAGGGGGCAAGCGUUAUCCGGAUUUACUGGGUGUAAAGGGAGCGUAGACGGCGAUGCAAGCCAGAUGUGAAAGCCCGGGGCUCAACCCCGGGACUGCAUUUGGAACUGUGUGGCUGGAGUGUCGGAGAGGCAGGCGGAAUUCCUAGUGUAGCGGUGAAAUGCGUAGAUAUUAGGAGGAACACCAGUGGCGAAGGCGGCCUGCUGGACGAUGACUGACGUUGAGGCUCGAAAGCGUGGGGAGCAAACAGGAUUAGAUACCCCAGUA